This 208-nucleotide long non-coding RNA is filed under the name Elaeis guineensis (African oil palm). RNAcentral describes it as "long non-coding RNA (EGUI_LNC078192)". The record is from RNAcentral. Lineage: Eukaryota; Viridiplantae; Streptophyta; Magnoliopsida; Arecales; Arecaceae.
UUGGUGCGUGAGUCAAGAUGGAAUUGAUCCCUUUGAAUUAAUAGGAGAUAUGCAUUAGUGUAUUUUAAUUUAAUAAAAUCUUGGUCAGGAUAAUCCAUGUGAUGGAUUUAAAAGGUUGAAAUACAAUAUGAUCGACUAUAUUAAGGUUGACAGUCAAACCCUAGGUCACCUUGAGCAUUAGGAUCAAAGGGAUGAAUUAUAUGGUAAU